GAUUUCUAGGUGGGAGCGGCGAAAGGGAGACUAAUGGGUGGAUUACUUACCCCCAGGACCGGGAUAGCUGUGGGAAACCGCCUGUAAUACCGGAGAAUAUCUCCGGAUCAAAUGGUGAGAUUCCGCCAGGGGAGGGGUCCGCUUCGUAUUAGCUUGUUGGUGGGGUAACGGCCUACCAAGGCAACAAUGGGUACUGGGUGUGAGAGCAUGGCCCGGCUCACCGGGACUGAAACACUGCCUGCACACCUACGGGUGGCUGCAUGCGAGAAUCUUCCGCAAUGGGCGAACGCCUGACGGAUCGACGCCCCGUGCGGGAUGAACGCCUUCGGGUUGUAAACCGCUGUCAGUUGGGAGGAAAUCUAUGGGGGUUAUCCCCCAUAGUUGACCUAUCUUCAUAGGAAGGACGGGCUAAGUUCGUGCCAACCGCCGCGGUAAGACUAACCGUCCAAACGUUAUUCGGAAUCACUGGGCUUAAAGGGUGCGUAGGCGGCUUGCCAAGUUGGGUGUGAAAUCCCUCGGCUCAACCGAGGAACUGCGCUCAAAACUGCCAAGCUAGAGGAAGAUAGAGGUGAGCGGAACUAAUGGUGGAGCGGUGAAAUGCGUUGAUAUCAUUAGGAACACCCGUGGCGAAAGCGGCUCACUGGGUCUUUUCUGACGCUGAGGCACGAAAGCUAGGGUAGCGAACGGGAUUAGAUACCCCGGUAGUCCUAGCUGUAAACGAUGAGCACUAGGUUGGACGCUCCUCCAUAAGUUUCCGACCGAAGCGAAAGUGUUAAGUGCUCCGCAUGGUGAGUAUGGUAGCAAGGCUGAGACUCUCAGGAAUUGAGGGGGGCUCACACAUUAGUGGAGGAUGUGGCUUAAUUCUUAGAUACGCGUAGAACUUAUCUGCUCUUGUCAUGUACAGAUGUGCCGCUUGAAAAGGAUAUUCCCUGCCGUCGGUGAAACGUACACACGUGCUGCAUGACCAUCCUCGGCUUGUGUCCUGAGAAGUCGGGUAAUCCCUUA
Molecule: ribosomal RNA, 1005 nt
Filed under: uncultured bacterium
Lineage: Bacteria
Description: bacterial SSU rRNA
Rfam family: Bacterial small subunit ribosomal RNA
Source: RNAcentral